CGCCCUUUUACAACACUAUGGGAGGGAAACGACACAGAGAAUCGCAGAGCUGAAUCAGACUUCUACUAAAGGCGCUUCACUGUUCAUUAGUAGGCCGCAGAUGAGAUGCUGUUUGUUUCACAGAAUAGGGAAAGUUAUGUUCUGAUACAAGAAUUGGGAAA
Molecule: long non-coding RNA, 161 nt
Organism: Silurus meridionalis
Lineage: Eukaryota; Metazoa; Chordata; Actinopteri; Siluriformes; Siluridae
Exons: 3
Source: RefSeq, a predicted model, not a curated record